Molecule: ribosomal RNA, 254 nt
Filed under: uncultured bacterium
Lineage: Bacteria
Description: partial 16S ribosomal RNA
Rfam family: Bacterial small subunit ribosomal RNA
Source: RNAcentral
UACGGGGGGAGCAAGCGUUGUUCGGAUUUACUGGGCGUAAAGGGCGCGUAGGCGGCGUGACAAGUCACUUGUGAAAUCUCCGGGCUUAACUCGGAACGGUCAAGUGAUACUGUCGUGCUAGAGUACAGAAGGGGCAACUGGAAUUCUCGGUGUAGCGGUGAAAUGCGUAGAGUAUCGAGAGGAACACCUGCGGCGAAGGCGGGUUGCUGGGCUGAUACUGACGCUGAGGCGCGAAAGCUAGGGGAGCGAACGGG